This 494-nucleotide ribosomal RNA is filed under the name uncultured bacterium. RNAcentral describes it as "partial 16S ribosomal RNA". It matches the Rfam family "Bacterial small subunit ribosomal RNA", at positions 28 to 507 of the family's 1533-position model. The record is from RNAcentral.
GACGAGCGCUGGCGGCGUGCUUAACACAUGCAAGUCGAACGGUGAAGCGCCUUCCUUUUUGGUGGGUGUGGAUGAGUGGCGAACGGGUGAGUAACACGUGAGUAACCUGCCCCCUUCUUCUGGAUAACCGCAUGAAAGUGUGGCUAAUACGGGAUAUUCUGGGUCUGUCGCAUGAUGGGUCUGGGAAAGAUAUUGUUUCGGUGGGGGAUGGGCUCGCGGCCUAUCAGCUUGUUGGUGGGGUGAUGGCCUACCAAGGCGGUGACGGGUAGCCGGCCUGAGAGGGUGGACGGUCACACUGGGACUGAGACACGGCCCAGACUUCUACGGGAGGCAGCAGUGGGGAAUAUUGCACAAUGGGCGCAAGCCUGAUGCAGCGACGCCGCGUGAGGGAUGGAGGCCUGCGGGUUGUGAACCUCUUUCGCCAGUGAAGCAGGCCUGCCUCGUUUGUGGGUGGGUUGACGGUAGCUGGAGAAGAAGCGCCGGCUAACUACGUG